Molecule: ribosomal RNA, 162 nt
Filed under: uncultured bacterium
Lineage: Bacteria
Description: partial 16S ribosomal RNA
Rfam family: Bacterial small subunit ribosomal RNA
Source: RNAcentral
UAGGGAAUCUUCCACAAUGGACGAAAGUCUGAUGGGAGCAACGCCGCGUGAGUGAAGAAGGGUUUCGGCUCGUAAAGCUCUGUUGGUAGUGAAGAAAGAUAGAGGUAGUAACUGGCCUUUAUUUGACGGUAUUACUUAGAAAGUAACGGCUAACUACGUGCC